GCCUUUCUCUUUUCUCAGCCUCCCGGGUAGCUGGAACUACAGGCGCCAGCCACUACGCCAGGCUAAUUUUUUGUAUUGUUAGUAGAGAUGGGGUUUCACCGUCUUAGCCAGGCUGGUGUCAAACUCCUGACCUCGUGAUCCGCCCACCUCAGCUUCCCAAAGUGCUGGGAUUACAGGCAUGAGCCACUGCACCCGGCCUGGUAGUUGUGUUUUAAUAAGCAGACCAGCAGGUAGAUGAAACUCAAGAGAAAAGGUGUGGAUAAAUGAAACUAGCCCAUGAUGAACCUGUUUUCUCCGUGACCACAAUAUUAACCAGGAUGAAUGGCGGUGGCAGUGGGCCUGCAUCACAGGUUGCAGCAGAUGUUCUCAAUAUUUCUAUUAAAAUUUCCUUAUUUCCAUAUGCAAGAGGAGCCCCAGAGCUGCAUCCUUAUGGUAGCUACCAUGCCGUGAUGUAAGCUGCCAUUCACUGGGGAGCUUUGGCAAUAGAAUUGGCUAGAUCAGGAAGCCUAUGUCAACUAUGGAACAACAACUUGCAGCUCAUCUCUAUUGAUGAUGGAAUCUCGCUAUGUCACCAGGCUGGAGUGCAGUGGCGCAACCUCGGCUCAGCGCAACAUCCGCCUCCCGGGUUCAAGUGAUUCUCCUACCUCAGCCUCCUGAGUAGCUGGGAUUACAGGUGAAACAGUCGCAAAUGGAAUUCCAAGAAACAUUCUAUAUACACUGCCUCUAGGACUGGGACAGAUAGCCACUGAGUACCUGCUUCAAAUCACCCUGCACGUUUUCUCUUUGGAAAGAUAAGCACUGGAGAACCAUCUCGUUACCUUCAGCAGAAAUGGAAACAAAUCAAGACAUUAAGAAUGCCGCAGUGGACAGCAGUUAUGCAAGGUUCAGCAGAGGAAGUUUUCAAGAUGGUGUGCCUCACUAGCCAGAAAUCAGAAAAGAUCGAAGCUAGCCUUUUCAUCUCAGCUGCUCCUUAAAUCAGUGCAACCCCUCCAAAUUAAUGUGAAUUGAAACUUGCAUUGCUUUUCAACUUAAUUGAAUACUUACUAUAUGUGAACCACUGCACAAAAUAGGGGAAGAAGAUGUGGGAGACAAAGAUGUGGAGCCUGUCUUCAAUAAAUUUACAGUUAGUUUCAGGGUACAUUGUUUUUCUUCUGCUGUUAAUUAGGUGUAUCCCCAAGACAAUAAAUACAUGAAUGGAAAAGUAUAUUCUGUGUUUUAAGUCUCUUUAAUAAAAAACAAAACAAAAUCCAAAAAAACUCCUAACAUGGCAACUCAGGACAUUUUAAUCCUUUUUUUUGUUGUUGGGCUUCUGAUAGGAUCCAUUUUAUUGAUUCCAUAAAUAUUUAGUAGACUUUAGACAUAUUAAUACAUUGUAGUUUGAGUUAAUUUGCAUUAAAUUCUGUUUUUUUCCCCUUAGGUAUAGAUUGUCUGUUGGAAAAAUAUAUUGCUUGUGGAUUUCUUGGGGAGUGGGAAGGUGAAUUAUACCUGUUGUCUCUACAGUCCACUACCUUCCACACCCUAGGGCAGUGGUCCCCAACCUUCUUGGCACCAGGGAUCAGUUUCCUGGAAGACAAUUUUUCUGUGGAUGGUGUGGGGAUGGUUUUGGGAUGGAACUGUUCCACCUCAGAUCAUCAGGCAUUAGUUAGGCUCUCAUAACGAGUGCGCAGCCUAGAUCCCUCACAUGCACAGUUCACAGUAGGGUUUGCGCUGCUAUGAGAAUCUAAGGCUGCCACUGAUCUGACAGGAGGCAGAACUCAGGUGGCAAUGCUUACUGGCCCACUGCUCACCUCUUGCUGUGCGGCCUGGUUCCUAAUAGGCCAUGGACCCCCACAGACGGGUACUAGUCUGCAGCCUGUGGACCCCAGCCCUAGGGGCCUGCCAUUCUGAGUGAGUUAUUAGCAUGAAGAAGAGGAAGAUCUGGAUCAAACGUGGGUGAUGGUACUCAGAGACCCAAGAUAGGAUAGGGAUGGAACAAAAUCCAUCUGGGCAACGGCUCUAUGAAAAUUUGGCUAAGUAAUUAUUUCAGUAUUCAUUGUAUUCAUUGUCCUUCGUGUUCCAUAAGUUAAAUGACUGUCUAAUUUUUCCAAAAAUUUAUUUCUGACUUGAGAAUAAGUGUGUCAUGAUUUUCCCAGUGUAAAGACACUGAUAUAACUGUAGAUACCAGACAUUUUAUGUAGUGUCUAUGACACAUUUUAGUAUGUAUGAGCCAACAAUAGACAUGUCUUUGUCUUGAGGAGUGUCCAUCUGAAUUGAAAAUGUGUCAGCUUUUUUUUAACAUCAUCAACAGACUUCUUAAUUAAGCUGCCAAUACAUACUGCCAAUAGCACUGUGUGCUGUCUGAGAAAUGCAUUGUGUAAGUGCUAUUUCCAUCUUAUUAAAUAAACAAUGUUGCUCUGUAUAAACUGGAUUUAAAGUGUUCUUUGAAUGAGGCAUUAUAUUGCUCCAUAAAUAAUGUGAUGUGAAUUCUCAUAUGAUCCCUUUUAACUUAAUUUCUAAAAAAAUAUUAUUUGCUCCUCAGUAAGGAAUAGCUCUAAUUGGACUGGUAACUUUAGUGAUAUGAUUUGUCUGUAACAGGCUGAAUCGCCCCACUCCCAAACUCCUGGUCGUGAUACUGGAUAUUUGUUAUGCCACUUUUAGUUUGCAUGAGGUAUCUUCCAGGAAGUAUUAGUUAUUAACUUGUGUUCUACUAAACUGUAGAUAUUUAUUUCCUGUUCUGGAAGAUUUCUUGGAGUGUCCAUCUGUGCAUUCCUGGUGCCUAGUGUAGUCUUGCUAAUGGAAUAGCACCUUUAUUGGUGCUACUUAGGGGUUGGUAGCUUACAAUCAAUCUACUUGGAACGUAUCCAAAUAAACUGGAUAUUUUUAUACA
This 2866-nucleotide long non-coding RNA is filed under the name Homo sapiens (human). RNAcentral describes it as "NR2F1 regulatory antisense RNA 1, transcript variant 37 (NR2F1-AS1)". Lineage: Eukaryota; Metazoa; Chordata; Mammalia; Primates; Hominidae. The record is from RNAcentral.